CUGCCCUUUGUACACACCGCCCGUCGCUACUACCGAUUGAAUGGCUCAGUGAGGCGUCCGGACUGGCCCAGAGAGGUGGGCAACUACCACUCAGGGCCGGAAAGCUCUCCAAACUCGGUCAUUUAGAGGAAGUAAAAGUCGUAACAAGGUCUCCGUUGGUGAACCAGCGGAGGGAUCAUUACCGAGUUUACAACUCCCAAACCCCUGUGAACAUACCAAUUGUUGCCUCGGCGGAUCAGCCCGCUCCCGGUAAAACGGGACGGCCCGCCAGAGGACCCCUAAACUCUGUUUCUAUAUGUAACUUCUGAGUAAAACCAUAAAUAAAUCAAAACUUUCAACAACGGAUCUCUUGGUUCUGGCAUCGAUGAAGAACGCAGCAAAAUGCGAUAAGUAAUGUGAAUUGCAGAAUUCAGUGAAUCAUCGAAUCUUUGAACGCACAUUGCGCCCGCCAGUAUUCUGGCGGGCAUGCCUGUUCGAGCGUCAUUUCAACCCUCAAGCCCCCGGGUUUGGUGUUGGGGAUCGGCGAGCCCUUGCGGCAAGCCGGCCCCGAAAUCUAGUGGCGGUCUCGCUGCAGCUUCCAUUGCGUAGUAGUAAAACCCUCGCAACUGGUACGCGGCGCGGCCAAGCCGUUAAACCCCCAACUUCUGAAUGUUGACCUCGGAUCAGGUAGGAAUACCCGCUGAACUUAAGCAUAUCAAUAAGCGGAGGAA
This 710-nucleotide ribosomal RNA is filed under the name Fusarium verticillioides. RNAcentral's name for it is "eukaryotic LSU rRNA". The stretch from base 1 to 181 matches the Rfam family "Eukaryotic small subunit ribosomal RNA", at positions 1653 to 1831 of the family's 1831-position model. Lineage: Eukaryota; Fungi; Ascomycota; Sordariomycetes; Hypocreales; Nectriaceae. The record is from RNAcentral.